Molecule: non-coding RNA, 26 nt
Filed under: Mus musculus (house mouse)
Lineage: Eukaryota; Metazoa; Chordata; Mammalia; Rodentia; Muridae
Source: RNAcentral
UGGAGAAGAAAGGACACAGCCCGGCC